GUGCUCACUUCGGCAGCACAUGUACUAAAAUUGGAACGAUAUAGAGAAGAUUAGCAUGGCCCUUGUGCAAGGAUGAAACACAAAUUUGUGAAGUGUUACAUAUUUUUU
RNAcentral lists this small nuclear RNA (108 nucleotides) under Pongo abelii (Sumatran orangutan). The record is from RNAcentral. Lineage: Eukaryota; Metazoa; Chordata; Mammalia; Primates; Hominidae.